GCUGGGCAUGGUGGCUCAUGCCUGUAAUCCAAGCACUUUGGGAGGCUGAGGUGGGUGGAUCACCUGAGGUCAGGAGUUCGAGACCAGCCUGACCAAUAUGUUGAAACCCCACCUCUA
This 117-nucleotide signal recognition particle RNA is filed under the name Pan paniscus (pygmy chimpanzee). RNAcentral describes it as "Metazoan signal recognition particle RNA". It matches the Rfam family "Metazoan signal recognition particle RNA". Rfam says of the family: The signal recognition particle (SRP) is a universally conserved ribonucleoprotein. RNAcentral also lists the same sequence under 1 other name. Lineage: Eukaryota; Metazoa; Chordata; Mammalia; Primates; Hominidae. The record is from Rfam by way of RNAcentral.